RNAcentral lists this ribosomal RNA (442 nucleotides) under uncultured bacterium. RNAcentral describes it as "partial 16S ribosomal RNA". It matches the Rfam family "Bacterial small subunit ribosomal RNA", at positions 339 to 795 of the family's 1533-position model. The record is from RNAcentral.
CUACGGGGGGCAGCAGUGGGGAAUAUUGGACAAUGGACCAAAAGUCUGAUCCAGCAAUUCUGUGUGCACGAUGAAGGUCUUCGGAUUGUAAAGUGCUUUCAGUAGGGAAGAAGAAUGUGACGGUACCUACAGAAGAAGCGACGGCUAAAUACGUGCCAGCAGCCGCGGUAAUACGUAUGUCGCAAGCGUUAUCCGGAAUUAUUGGGCAUAAAGGGCGUCUAGGUGGGUUACUAAGUCUGAUGUGAAAAUGCGGGGCUCAACUCCGUAUUGCGUUGGAAACUGGUUUACUAGAGUCUUGGAGAGGUGGGCGGAACUACAAGUGUAGAGGUGAAAUUCGUAGAUAUUUGUAGGAAUGCCGAUGACGAAGGUAGCUCACUGGACAAGUACUGACACUAAAGCGCGAAAGCUAGGGGAGCAAACAGGAUUAGAUACCCCUGUAGUC